CCCAGAGAACUGAUUAAUAUCCUGUUACUUUGGUCAUUUUUGAUCAAGUCAUCCUGAAUGUGAAAGAUAAUCUAAAUAAAUCACUUUUACCUCUUUGGGCCUUAAAAAAUGUGAUGUGGUAAAAUGCAAAAAGAAGAGUGUAAGCCACAUUCAAGGCGUUUAAUGACGGUUUCAGUAUCGUAAUUCAGGGUCCGAGAUAUUCUGUAAUUACAGCUUCUUAUCACUCUGAUGCUUGGUCAGUCGUUCAUCUCUCCAGUGAAUUUAAUAGUUUUUUCUUGUGUUCUAAAAGUGGGGUGAGCAUCAUAAUUGACAGCUGAGACUGACUCAUGAUCAGUCGAGCAGGUGCAUCUGUGCUGGGAAGACUGGUUUUCAAAAGCGCAAGAUGGCAGCGUUCGUACCUGGGAUAUUUUGGCUUCAUUUCUGGAUCGUUGGAGGAAGUGGAGACUUUUCGUUUACCAUCAAGCACCAAAAACUGAUGGAAAGUCAUAUUAUUAGUCAUUCAAACAGGGGCUUGGAUGUGUUUGCCUGAAAUAACCGACCACUGCCAAGAUGGCUGCCGAGAGGGAAAUUGCCUAUAAAUUAGUUGGCUAAACUAAUCAUGUGCAGCUCAGAAGGUCCUGUCUCUCUGAAUUCCUUUUUCUUAAAAGAAGAUAGAAAACCUGCUCAUGGAAUGAAGGCGUUUCCUCCAAUAAAAUAAUUCAAACAGGGGAACCGGUGUCUCCAGAGGCAGAAUGUCCCAGUUCUCUGAAGAUUCUUUCAGCCCGAACACAAGUCAGGCUUUUUGCAGGGAGGCCGUGCAGGAGCGGAGCCCCCCUGCGGCCACACAGCCAGUCAGUGGAGCUGCACUUUCACGGUCCCUCUCAUAAAGAGCUGCCCUGCUUUAUGGCCCUGUUGCCCAACAUCACAUGCCUCCAGUGUCGGGAUAUGAUCUGAGAUAAGGCAAGAAAGCACCGAAACAAGUCUCACUCUCCUCCUUCCCUCGCGCUCCUCAUUCGGAUAAAUGACCUGAACGGAGGAACAUUACAAGGUUUGGUUUUGAAACGGUUGACAAACACAGUGAUUAGAAUCUGUACCAAAGUGUGUCACAUUAUAUCUCCAAUGUGAAAUGUUGUGGGUGGUUCUGAUGGGACUUCUUGGGAAGAUAUCAAAGAAUCACUGAGAUGCCCUUAUGGAUACAAGUUUUAUAAAUCAAGUCUUUACGAUAAGCUGAUUACCUUAUCCUUGACAGCAGCGCACAGCGAGGGCCGUAAAGGUGCAGGAUUAUGAGGUGAUGGCCCAUAAAGGGUUCGGCUCAGAUAAGGAGGUUUGUGGGAGUGAAAAACACAGAUGGUGACUUUAGGCCAAUGGAAACUGGUUUUCUCAAUGACAAUCAGGUCGUCUCGGCCACAUAUCACUGCACGGCACCUGAAUCUGCAGCUUUCUUAACUUUAGGGGGUCAAUCGUGGCAUUCAUUUUAACCAGGAGCAAACUUGUCAUGUUUCCAUUUUCUGGGGGGGGGGAAAUGAACAGAGAUGGUCAUAAAAAUAUUGCGGCCCAUGAAAGGCAGCCACUUCAACCUUUAACCUGCUCCUCAUUUACUGAAGCGGGAAGUUUGUUGAGAUGUGGAAGGAUGUUAAAUCUUGUGUACUUGUGUGUAAAUAUCUUCACUGAUAUGAGAAGGGUAUUAAAGAUCACUGUAUGGAGCAGAGAUCCUUCCCCUCCGAUACCUCUCCAUUCGCUUUCAGUUUUACCUGAACAAACUUCAUGCGUAUUUUGUUUUGCCUGCAGUCCCAAUGAAAUUCCUCCCCGCUGAGGUGCACCUCUCUUAUCUUCACAAUGGCUCUAUUAAUGAGCCUAAUGGCACAUGAGUGAUACCCACACCCGAGUGAAACUGUGCGGGGUGACUGCCUCUGCAACUUCCCGCAUUGCAAUGCAGCCCUCGGUGGCUGCAGUCCAUUCGGAGGAAACCAUUAGAACAAACUGCUCUCAGGUGCAGCAAAGCAGACCGGGCUCCACCAUUUAUGAACCAAAUCACCUCUGGGUGUCCUACGCUGCAAGGACAAAGUUUGUCUUCAUGCAAAGUCUCACACCCUUCACCCACACAGCAGCAGCAUUAUGUAGACCCACAGAAAUUGAGUCUGUAUUGUUUGUAGUGGGAGAGCUCAAAUUUUCCCUUUGGUCAAAAAUACUAUUUUUCUGCUAAACGUCCUGUUACAUUUAAUGUGAAUGAUUAAUAAAACGUACGAGUUUGUAUGCAUCACAGUCGAUAAAGUCUUGUUUGAUUCUGUCAUAAUAUUGAUCACUUUUUGUAUAAGCUCCCUAAAAAAAUCUUUAUGUAAAGUUAAAAAACUUCCCCGGUGCACUACAAACUCUACCUUAUGGCUUUUCACACAACGAUACAAGUAAAAAAACUAAACAUGUUGGUCACAUGUAAAAAAAUUAACCCAUAUGUAAUACCGGAACAUGUACUUAAUUAUUGAGGAAUCGGAAAAAUUUUACUAAUAUUUUUAAAACGUGACCCACUUUAAAUUAACUUGACUGUUUGACUGUGUAUUGUUAAAAAACAAUAUUUACGUCAACAACAGAAGAAGAGAGACAGAGAGAAAAAUACAAUAGAAAUUUGUCUUGAAGACAAAGGUGUCCCUCUUGUGGUUACAAUGUGGAAGUGCAUAAAGACCAUUAUUUCUGAUAAGACAAUUCAAACAUUCGUGACCGAUUA
This is a long non-coding RNA of Platichthys flesus (European flounder), 2698 nucleotides long. RefSeq lists it as uncharacterized. The record is from RefSeq and is a predicted model, not a curated record. Lineage: Eukaryota; Metazoa; Chordata; Actinopteri; Pleuronectiformes; Pleuronectidae. The transcript is spliced from 3 exons.